This 1554-nucleotide ribosomal RNA is filed under the name Triticum aestivum (bread wheat). RNAcentral's name for it is "partial small subunit ribosomal RNA". The record is from RNAcentral. Lineage: Eukaryota; Viridiplantae; Streptophyta; Magnoliopsida; Poales; Poaceae.
AUGCAGCUGCUCCUGCGCUGUGGCUCUCUCCUCCGUCUCUACGAGUGUAGCGGUGGGCUUCCAAGAACAAAUUACAGUUGUAGAAAAUUAGUGCUUCCAAUACUAAACGUGAUGAGUGAGAGGACGCGGAUUACCUAUUCACGUAGAGCUGUCUCUAAGAACAGUGAGAUCAAGAAAGAUGAACAAACAGUCAUAGAAAAGGAAGAUGACACUGAAAGCACAUUGGAGAUAGAGCGAAUCAGAGGUGACCCUAGUAUGCUCCAAUCCAUGACAGUGAAAGAACUCAAGGAACUCACAAGGACGAUGGGAGUUGCUGCGAGAGGUAACAAGAAAGAUUUGGUAUCAGCUCUGAUGGAAUCUCUGGGUGAGGAAGUAAUUGGUAAAGAGGGAGCAUCAACCAUUGAGCAGAUUGGCCCAUCAGAAGUACCUUCAAAAAGAAAAGGUGCCGCUUCAGUAGUGGUUGAACAAAAGCUAGAAACUUCUGAAGUUAUUUCCGCAACUCCUAGCAAGAGAAGUAGAACCAAGCAGAAAUCAAUUAAGGGCACCACUCCGGAGGAGAACCCUGUGACUACUGUCAAGAUAAAUAAAACAUCACACAAGAAGGAAACAGUUGUUGCCAAUGGUGCUAUUGCAAAGGCGGGGUUGGGUCUUAAUGUGGAUGGUGCAGAGCCUUGGACUGUACUUGUACACAAGAAGCCACAGGCUGAGUGGAUUCCAUACAAUCCUAAGGUCAUGAGGCCUCCACCCCUUAGCAAGGAUACAAGGGCACUAAAGAUUCUAUCAUGGAAUGUCAAUGGACUGAAAGCUCUAGUAAAAAAUAGGGGCUUCUCCGUUCAUGAGUUAGCACAGAGGGAGGAUUUUGAUGUGCUAUGCCUGCAAGAAACGAAAAUUCAGGAGAAAGAUGUUGACGUCAUCAAGGAAAGUCUACUUGAAGGGUAUACCAAUAGUUUCUGGACAUGUAGUGUGUCAAAGCUUGGAUAUUCAGGGACUGCCAUAAUUUCACGGGUGAAACCACUUUCUAUCAAGUAUGGGCUUGGUGUACCAGACCAUGAUACAGAAGGGAGGAUUGUGACAGUGGAAUUUGAUGAUUUUUACUUGCUAACCGCUUAUGUGCCAAAUUCCGGUGAUGGUCUCAAAAGAUUGACUUACAGAGUCACAGAGUGGGAUCCAUGCCUUGGUAACUACAUGAAAGAAUUGGAAAAAUCGAAACCUGUCAUACUAACUGGUGAUCUUAACUGUGCGCAUCAGGAGAUUGAUAUACAUGAUCCUGCUGGAAAUAGUAGAAGUGCCGGCUUCACAAAAGAAGAAAGGAAAUCGUUCGAGACUAAUUUUCUGUCCAAAGGGUUCGUGGAUACGUUUCGGAAACAGCACCCUGAUGUUGUUGGAUAUAGCUACUGGGGUUAUAGGCAUAAUUGCCGGAAGACUAAUAGAGGUUGGCGCCUGGAUUACUUUCUUGUGUCGGAGUCCAUCGCGGAAAGAGUCCACGAUUCAUACAUCCUUCCCGACGUUUCUGCCAGUGACCACAGCCCGCUCGGCCUCAUACUGAAGCUCUAA